AGUUAUAUAUGGCGGUCGGUUUUCCUAGCCAUGUUUUCCUGGACGGUACCAUCACCAGUACUAACUACCCUUCCUAAAGCCGACAAGUUCACCACAUGUGGAGGAAAAUCAAUAUCUUAUCAAAUUUUUAUGGAAGAGUUUGACCUGCCGCAACUGAGAUUUGAACCCGGUCCUCCCGGUUACAAGGUGAGUGAACUAACUACUGAGCCACGUACCCGGGAGGUC
RNAcentral lists this small RNA (225 nucleotides) under Spisula solidissima (Atlantic surf clam). RNAcentral describes it as "cnRNA27". The record is from RNAcentral. Lineage: Eukaryota; Metazoa; Mollusca; Bivalvia; Venerida; Mactridae.